UUUCCGUAGGUGAACCUGCGGAAGGAUCAUUCAUAAUAAAGUGUUUUAUGGCACUUUUUAAAAAUCCAUAUCCACCUUGUGUGCAAUGUUAGAUCUCGUCAAUCUUGGCGAGAUUUUUAUACAUCAACUCAUUCUUUAACUAUUUUGUCUGAAAAAUAUUAUGAAUACUUAAUUCAAAAUACAACUUUCAACAACGGAUCUCUUGGCUCCC
This 211-nucleotide unclassified non-coding RNA is filed under the name plant metagenome. Its description in RNAcentral is "partial contains small subunit ribosomal RNA, internal transcribed spacer 1, and 5.8S ribosomal RNA". The record is from RNAcentral.